CGGGCGAGGCACGGACGAAUCGGCAAAGGCUGGCACUGAACAAACCGAUAUGACAUAGGCGCUGUGGACUUUUAAUCCAUAGGUUCCGGGUUCGAGCCCCGGGCGCCCUACCA
Molecule: transfer RNA, 113 nt
Filed under: Actinomadura sp. DC4
Lineage: Bacteria; Bacillati; Actinomycetota; Actinomycetes; Streptosporangiales; Thermomonosporaceae
Description: tRNA-Lys
Source: RNAcentral